RNAcentral lists this ribosomal RNA (498 nucleotides) under uncultured bacterium. Its description in RNAcentral is "partial 16S ribosomal RNA". It matches the Rfam family "Bacterial small subunit ribosomal RNA", at positions 28 to 507 of the family's 1533-position model. The record is from RNAcentral.
GACGAACGCUGGCGGCGUGCCUAAUACAUGCAAGUCGAACGAGAGCGACCGGUGCUUGCACUGGUCAAUCUAGUGGCGAACGGGUGAGUAACACGUGGGUAACCUGCUCAUCAGAGGGGGAUAACAUCCGGAAACGGAUGCUAAAACCGCAUAGGUCUUCGAGCCGCAUGGCUUGAAGAGGAAAAGAGGCGCAAGCUUCUGCUGAUGGAUGGACCCGCGGUGCAUUAGCUAGUUGGUGAGGUAACGGCUCACCAAGGCCGUGAUGCAUAGCCGACCUGAGAGGGUGAUCGGCCACAUUGGGACUGAGACACGGCCCAAACUCCUACGGGAGGCAGCAGUAGGGAAUCUUCCGCAAUGGACGCAAGUCUGACGGAGCAACGCCGCGUGAGUGAAGAAGGUUUUCGGAUCGUAAAACUCUGUUGUUAGAGAAGAACAAGUGCUAGAGUAACUGUUAGCGCCUUGACGGUAUCUAACCAGAAAGCCACGGCUAACUACGUG